UCCAUAAUGUAACUGACCUUGAAUUUCUGGCUUUAAAGGUUGAAGCACCAGUCAGUGCACUGAUUGCAGUUGUAUACAGACCUCCAGACUACACUCUGAGGCCAUUCCUGAAAAACCUGCCAGAGCGAUGUCUCCAUUCUGGAGUCAUGAAGACCUACCAUAGUUACCAUGACCCUGUAUACUGUGCAUUGUCCUGUGAUGAUUCAUGAUCUAGAUCUUUGACUACAGUGUUUCCCUCUGUGAUCCAUCCCCUUCAGAGCUGAGACACUCAAGACUGAACAGACUGCACAGUUUCUGUGACUGAGCCUCCAAAACACCUUCUUUGAAACCACACAUGAUAGAAGGGCUUUAUAUUUGCAGCAGCACUACUAAAGGUAUUCAGUUUAUUACAGGAUGUGUUUGUUUCUUAGGACCAGCUCUAAGUGCACACUACCUAACAUAUACACCUUUCUGUUCAUUACAAACCAACUACUCUGGAUCAUAUGGCCAGUCGGCAGGAAUGUUUCUGCAGGAAAACAUCACUGGAGAUCACCAUCAUUGUCAGACUGACUGUGCCUCCUCUGUGCAGUGUCAAGAUCCUCCUUAAAUGAGUGUUCCUCAGCUAUCCUGCUUCUGUGCUGCUUGCCACACAUCAAACACUGGCCGGAUGACAGGGAGGAUCCACUCUGAAGUCACUGGACAUGAUGAGGAUCAUAUGGGACUUUAUAGUUUCACAGAAAUGUUGUGCUCUUUGAUUACAGGUUUUAAAUGGACAUAAUGACUGCCUCUCUCUGAUCAACAGGCUAAAGGAUUGUUUUCAUUGUUAGAGCUCUGUACAAUGUAUGCUUAUUUAAUAUUUCAUCACAGAGCAAACCUUUAUUUAUUUAACAUAUUUUUAUUUUGUUUUAAUGUUGAAUUAACUGUGGGGAUUUUUUUAACUGGGCACUCGGGAUGUCAUAUGACCAGAAAUGUGGUAACUGGAAUUCAACAGUAUG
This is a long non-coding RNA of Oreochromis niloticus (Nile tilapia), 974 nucleotides long. RefSeq lists it as uncharacterized. NCBI's taxonomy places the organism in Eukaryota, Metazoa, Chordata, Actinopteri, Cichliformes, Cichlidae. The transcript is spliced from 4 exons. The record is from RefSeq and is a predicted model, not a curated record.